UGGGGAAUAUUGCACAAUGGGCGCAAGCCUGAUGCAGCCAUGCCGCGUGUGUGAAGAAGGCCUUCGGGUUGUAAAGCACUUUCAGCGAGGAGGAAGGUGGUGAGCUUAAUACGCUCAUCAAUUGACGUUACUCGCAGAAGAAGCACCGGCUAACUCCGUGCCAGCAGCCGCGGUAAUACGGAGGGUGCAAGCGUUAAUCGGAAUUACUGGGCGUAAAGCGCACGCAGGCGGUUUGUUAAGUCAGAUGUGAAAAUCCCCGGGCUCAACCUGGGAACUGCAUUUGAAAACUGGCAAGCUAGAGUCUCGUAGAGGGGGGUAGAAUUCCAGGUGUAGCGGUGAAAUGCGUAGAGAUCUGGAGGAAUACCGGUGGCGAAGGCGGCCCCCUGGACGAAGACUGACGCUCAGGUGCGAAAGCGUGGGGAGCAAAACAGAUUAGAUACCCUGGUAGUCCACGCUGU
This 458-nucleotide ribosomal RNA is filed under the name uncultured bacterium. Its description in RNAcentral is "partial 16S ribosomal RNA". It matches the Rfam family "Bacterial small subunit ribosomal RNA", at positions 355 to 803 of the family's 1533-position model. The record is from RNAcentral.